GACGAACGCUGGCGGCGUGCUUAACACAUGCAAGUCGAACGGAAAGGCCCUGCUUUUGUGGGGUGCUCGAGUGGCGAACGGGUGAGUAACACGUGAGUAACCUGCCCUUGACUUUGGGAUAACUUCAGGAAACUGGGGCUAAUACCGGAUAUGAGCUCCUGCUGCAUGGUGGGGGUUGGAAAGUUUCGGCGGUUGGGGAUGGACUCGCGGCUUAUCAGCUUGUUGGUGGGGUAGUGGCUUACCAAGGGUUUGACGGGUAGCCGGCCUGAGAGGGUGACCAGCCACAUUGGGACUGAGAUACGGCGCAGACUCCUACGGGAGGCAGCAGUGGGGAAUAUUGCACAAUGGGCGGAAGCCUGAUGCAGCAACGCCGCGUGCGGGAUGACGGCCUUCGGGUUGUAAACCGCUUUCGCCUGUGACGAAGCGUGAGUGACGGUAAUGGGUAAAGAAGCACCGGCUAACUACGUG
RNAcentral lists this ribosomal RNA (468 nucleotides) under uncultured bacterium. RNAcentral's name for it is "partial 16S ribosomal RNA". It matches the Rfam family "Bacterial small subunit ribosomal RNA", at positions 28 to 507 of the family's 1533-position model. The record is from RNAcentral.